This 68-nucleotide transfer RNA is filed under the name Staphylinidae sp. BMNH 1274669. RNAcentral's name for it is "tRNA-Ser". The record is from RNAcentral. Lineage: Eukaryota; Metazoa; Arthropoda; Insecta; Coleoptera; Staphylinidae.
GAAAUAAGUAAUUUCAAAAAUAAGCUUCUAACUUAAUUUUUUAGCGAUGAAAUUUCGUUAUUAUUUCU